UCCCUGGUGGUCCAGUGGCUAAGAUUUCACACUCCCAAUGCAAGCAGCCCGGGUUUGAUUCCUGGUCAGGGAA
RNAcentral lists this transfer RNA (73 nucleotides) under Bos taurus (domestic cattle). It matches the Rfam family "tRNA". From Rfam's summary of the family: Transfer RNA (tRNA) molecules are approximately 80 nucleotides in length. Their secondary structure includes four short double-helical elements and three loops (D, anti-codon, and T loops). Lineage: Eukaryota; Metazoa; Chordata; Mammalia; Artiodactyla; Bovidae. The record is from Rfam by way of RNAcentral. RNAcentral also lists the same sequence under 1 other name.